AUGGAGGCGCUCCCUUCGUCGCCGAGGCACCCUCCCAAGUACGGCAGCGCCGCCGUCCAGAAUGCUUUGGAGCAGUUGGCGUCUAUUGAUCUCAUUGAGCUGAGCAAGGAGGCUAGAAUUGAGCACUGCCGUGCAACUAGGGACUUGAGUAGCUGUGGCCGCUAUGUGCAGCAUGUGCUCAACUCAUGUGGGCAUGCCUCGUUAUGUGCCGAGUGUAGCCAGAGAUGUGAUGUCUGCCCAAUUUGCAGAAGUCCAAUACCUGAUAAUGGAAAAAGAGUGCGGCUCCGCCUUUACCACAAGUGCUUGGAGGUCGGCCUUAUCUCUAAGCAGCAUGAUGAAAGGUUUCAGGAAAAGGAAGGCCAUGGUGAUCCUGUGAACAUGGAUGUCCAGCGGCUGCAUUCCUUGUUUGAUGUUGCGCUUCAGAAUAAUCUGGUUUCCCUGAUUUGCCACUAUAUAACAGAUGUUUGUUUGGAUGAGAAUGCUGUCUCAAGUGAUCCACUUCUGGCUUUUCUUUUGGACGAGGUGGUCAUCAAGGACUGGUGCAAGAGGGCUGUUAAGGCACUCAUAUCAGAGAUAGGCAUGAUUUAUAAAUCUGGAUUAGAGACGAUGAAGUCUAAGUUAUCCCAGAUGCAAAAGUUUGCAGUGCAGCUGUCAGGGAUAUCCACUGUUGUUGAAGCUAUGAUCGCAUCUUUCAGAGAGGCAGCUCAUGUUAGUGACCUCCAUCAUCUCAUCGAGAACACAAUGAAGGCAAAGCAGCAUUUGGAAGCCAUGAUAUGGUGCACCAGGCAUGAAUUUCUUGAGAAAAUUUGCUCACGCCAUGCUAGUUUUGCUACUUGGAGUGCUGAUGUGAUUGAAAGGAAAAAGUCUGCAGAAAAACGACAAUGGCCUGAAUUUUCUGGUAAAUCAUCAGGUCACAAUGAAGUCAACCAGGGCAUACUUUUCAUCGAGCAGGCACUACAAAACCUUGGAGGUCAACAAAGUUAUAGGGAUAAUCAGGAAGGAGUGGAAAUCACCUAUUUGCAGAAUGAACAAUCAGCAUCUGAGUUCUCUUGUACAAUUGAUCAGUUUAGUGUCAAUAGUUACCCAUUUAAAAACUUGCGUGAGGCAGUUGAUGUACUGUUUCUUCACGGAGGAUCUGACAUGGUGAUUGCAAAGCAAGCAAUUUUCUUAUACUACGUAUUUGAUCGGCAUUGGACCAGACCAGAUUCAGAAUGGAGGUAUCUGGUGGAUGAUUUUGCUGCUACAUUUGGGAUCUCCUGUAGAACGUUGCUCGAAUGCCUAGUAUUCUGUCUUUUGGACGACCACUCUUCACAGGCUCUGGAGGAGGCAUGCUCUCUUCUUCCUAAGAUUUCUAGCAAGGAAACACAUCCAAAGAUAGCACAAGUUCUUCUAGAACGUCAGAAACCUGACGUGGCACUGGUCGUGUUGAAGUGCACAGGGUGUGAUAGCUUAUCUGCAAACAUUGAGAAAGAUGGACUGUUAUGUCUUAGUGAGGCAGUAACUGCAAUCCGUGUAAGAAUUGAAUAUGGCCAAGUAACAGAAGCAUUUAUGUUCCAUAGGAGCUACUGCUCUAGGAUAAAAGAGCAAAGACCAGCAGAUAUGAUCCACCAUGUUGAAGUGAUGAUGGUCGAGUUUUGUGAGAUCUGCAUUGAACGAAAUAUUGUUGAUAAAAUAAUUGAUCUGCCUUGGGAUUCUGAGGAAGAGAAAUAUCUUCACAAGUCCCUCUUUGAUUCUGCUCGUGAGGCGCCCACAGAGCCAUGUGGUAGUCUGCUUGUUGUUUUCUACCUCCAGCGUUAUCGGUACUUGGAAGCAUAUGAUGUCCAUCGUAGUCUUCAGAACUUUGAGCAAAACACACUGGAAACUGCCAGUGAAGAGGUUGCAUCCAAAAUCAGCACAAUUGCUCGGUGGAGAGAAGGUUUGGUGGCUAAAUGCCUUGAAAUGCUUCCUGAGGUCCAGAGGGAGGAUGUGAGGUCCAUCAGCAGCGGAGACCAAAGUCAAUUUGCCAUCCGAACCAUGCAAACGUCUUCUCCAGUUAAUCCUGUUGUCAAAUCAGCCAGUCCUACUAUUGGAUUGAGCUCGUCCUUCACCCCUGCUCUUCAGAAUAAAUCAAACCCUCUACACUCCAGGAAUAUCCAUGGGCUGACUGAUUCUGGUGCUCUUAUCGGUAGUGUCUGUUCAGAGUUUGGCAGAAAGGUUCCAUCUAUCCUCCAAUGUAGGCCAGUUCCUCCAGCGACACCUGCAUCCAAUAUGAGAUCCACUUCAGGGGGUAUAUUCCCCUCUCUGGGUCAAAAUGGUGAGAAUCCAUAUUUAAAGGGGACAAGAGAACUCAGCUUUAUGAAAGGAGAGCCAGGUUUUAGAGAAGGAACCAAACCUGCUGGUCAUGAUUCAAUUCCUAUGUAUUUCAACUUGGGUGCUGGCGAUACACCUAAGAAAACCCAUGGAACAAGUUUGGUGAGGACUGAGCGUAACAAAAACACUUUCUUUCAAGGAAAAGAUUCUGUCAGAAAGGGAGAGUUUGACUUUGGUGUACGUGCUGAGAAGCCUUUCAUCUUAAGUGGGACUGGGGCUGGUCAAAAUGGCCAAACAAAGGUAUCUGAUAGUGCUGGAUUUCGUCGUGAGAAUCAUAUGGAGAAGACAAAAGUUCUAAUGACACCGAACAUUUUGAGCUUGGGCAAGAAACCCCCAGUUGGUGAAGGAGCAGCCGGCAAAGGCGGGUCAAGGUGGAGGUCCGACGAGUCAAGUGAAGACGAAGACGAGGCAAGAACUGGCGGGUACAUGGAGAGUGGCGCUUCCCUUAUUACCCGAAGGCGACCGAGAUUUUCCAGAAGAUGA
RNAcentral lists this ribosomal RNA (2832 nucleotides) under Triticum aestivum (bread wheat). Its description in RNAcentral is "partial small subunit ribosomal RNA". The record is from RNAcentral. Lineage: Eukaryota; Viridiplantae; Streptophyta; Magnoliopsida; Poales; Poaceae.